GUGCCAGCAGCCGCGGUAAUUCCAGCUCCAAUGGCGUAUAUUAAAGUUGUUGUGGUUAAAAAGCUCGUAGUUGAACCUUGGGCCUGGCUGGCCGGUCCGCCUCACCGCGUGCACUGGUCCGGCCGGGCCUUUCCCUCUGUGGAACCCCAUACCCUUCACUGGGCGUGGCGGGGAAACAGGACAUUUACUUUGAAAAAAUUAGAGUGCUCCAGGCAGGCCUAUGCUCGAAUACAUUAGCAUGGAAUAAUAAAAUAGGACGCGCGGUUCUAUUUUGUUGGUUUAUAGGACCGCCGUAAUGAUUAAUAGGGACAGUCGGGGGCAUCAGUAUUCAACUGUCAGAGGUGAAAUUCUUGGAUCAGUUGAAGACUAACUACUGCGAAAGCAUUUGCCAAGGAUGUUUUCAUUAAUCAGGAACGAAAGUUAGGGGAUCGAAGACGAUCAGAUACCGUCGUAGUCUUAACCAUAAACUAUGCCGACUAGGGAUCGGACGGUGUUAUUCAUGACCCGUUCGGCACCUUACGAGAAAUCAAAGUGCUUGGGCUCCAGGGGGAGUAUGGUCGCAAGGCUGAAACUUAAAGAAAUUGACGGAAGGGCACCACCAGGGGUGGAGCCUGCGGCUUAAUUUGACUCAACACGGGGAAACUCACCAGGUCCAGACACAAUAAGGAUUGACAGAUUGAGAGCUCUUUCUUGAUUUUGUGGGUGGUGUGCAUGGCCGUUCUUAGUGGUGGGGUGACUCGUCUGCUUAAUGCGAUAACGAACGAGACCUUAACCUGCUAAAUAGCCCGCAUGCUCCGCAGUGCGCUGGCUUCUUAGAGGGACUUCGGCUCAAGGCGGAGGAGUUGUGCAAUAACAGGUCUGUGAUGCCUUAGAAUGUUCUUGGCGGAAG
This 889-nucleotide ribosomal RNA is filed under the name uncultured fungus. RNAcentral's name for it is "SSU rRNA". It matches the Rfam family "Eukaryotic small subunit ribosomal RNA", at positions 564 to 1492 of the family's 1831-position model. The record is from RNAcentral. Lineage: Eukaryota; Fungi.